This 70-nucleotide transfer RNA is filed under the name Tritonia iocasica. RNAcentral's name for it is "tRNA-Gly". Lineage: Eukaryota; Metazoa; Mollusca; Gastropoda; Nudibranchia; Tritoniidae. The record is from RNAcentral.
CUUUAGUUAGUAUAGUAGUGGUGUACAUUUGCCUUCCAAGCAGAAAGCCUGAUAGUAAGCAGACUAAAGA